GUAAAAAUGACUUUGCGACAGUCGUUAUGUAUGUGUGUUUACAUAUGAAACGAAAGUGGAAAUUCAUUUUAACCAAUUGGACAAUUGUUUUUUAAAGUUUAAAGAUCUACUGUUCGUUUUUAUUUGAUUCAAGUCCAGUCGCUUUAAUACACGUUUAGUAAAGAUCCUUGUCCAGUCAAUGUGAUCCUUGUCCAGUCAAUGUGAUCCAGUCAAUGUGAUCCUUGUCCAGUCAAUGUGAUCCUUGUUCAGUCAAUGUGAUCCUUGUCCAUGCAGUCAAUGUGAUCCUUGUCCAUGCAGUCAAUGUGAUCCUUGUCCAGUCAAUGUGAUACUUGUCCAGUCAAUGAGAUCCUUGUCCAGUCAAUGUGAUCCUUGUCCAGUAAAGUUAUUAUAGAUCUGGGAAAGUGCAAUACAUGUUCUGGUGUUUGAUGGAAAGAGUCACAUCCUGCUUGUAGAAGUCAUUUGUACCUCAUUCAGGCUAUAAUGGAAAGUUGGAAUGAGAAACUAACUACAGCUGCUAGGGAUGGAGAUAUAGAAGCCUUAAAAUUAAGCCUACAGAAUGGUGCAGACAUUGAUAAUCGAGAUGU
Long non-coding RNA from Mytilus trossulus (common blue mussel), 584 nucleotides. RefSeq lists it as uncharacterized. Lineage: Eukaryota; Metazoa; Mollusca; Bivalvia; Mytilida; Mytilidae. The record is from RefSeq and is a predicted model, not a curated record. The transcript has 6 exons.